AUCGUCGAUAAACGAGCGAGGCCCUACCCUUUUAAAUAGCCAGGCUAUCUUUGGGGGGUCGCGGCUUUUUAAGAGGGCCUAUCGGGUCAAACCGAUGGAAGUUUGAGGCAAUAACAGGUCUGUGAUGCCCUUAGAUGUUUUGGGCCGCACGCGCGCUACACUGACAGAGCCAACGAGUUCUUUUCCUUGGCCGAAAGGUCUGGGUAAUCUUGUUAAACUCCGUCGUGCUGGGGAUAGAGCAUUGCAAUUAUUGCUCUUCAACGAGGAAUUCCUAGUAAGCGCAAGUCAUCAGCAUGCGUUGAUUACGUCCCUGCCCCUUUUCC
RNAcentral lists this ribosomal RNA (323 nucleotides) under uncultured fungus. RNAcentral describes it as "bacterial SSU rRNA". It matches the Rfam family "Eukaryotic small subunit ribosomal RNA", at positions 1313 to 1661 of the family's 1831-position model. Lineage: Eukaryota; Fungi. The record is from RNAcentral.